AUGGGGGGUAUGGGCUUCAGAGACAUGAGGUCGUUUAAUCAAGCCCUGUUAGCCAAACAAGCUUGGAGGCUGCUCGCCUCUCCUGAUAGCUUGUGCUCAAGACUUUUAAAGGCAAAGUAUUACAAACAUGGUCAAUUGUUGGACACUGUUUUCCCGAGCAACGGCUCGGACGUUUGGAAGGACAUUUUACACGGACAAAGAAAGGGGUUAUUUGGCGCGUGGGGAAUGGUACAGCAAUAUGUACAUGGAGGGAUCCUUGGAUCCCGAGACCAGACUCCUUCCAGCCAAUCACUCCUAAACUGUCGAUUAAAUUGGGUAUCGGACUUCCUAGAUGAUAAUUGUGCAUGGAGAUCAGACCGGUUGUAUGAGUUCUUCUGGCCAAUGGAUGUGUGUCACAUUCUGAAAAUCAGAACCUCCCCAUGCCAGCGAUGUGAUUUUCUUUCGUGGUUUCCGGAAAAGAGCGGAUUAUUUACCGUGAAAAGUGCUUAUAGGCUCGCCACACAGGAACACAAUGCUGCCUUUGGUAAUGGUUCAUCCAGUACUAGUCCAGAUGGUGAACGUUCCUUGUGGAAUCUUGUUUGA
RNAcentral lists this ribosomal RNA (582 nucleotides) under Triticum aestivum (bread wheat). RNAcentral describes it as "partial small subunit ribosomal RNA". Lineage: Eukaryota; Viridiplantae; Streptophyta; Magnoliopsida; Poales; Poaceae. The record is from RNAcentral.